GGUCUCGUGGUCUAGUGGUAUGAUUCUCGCUUAGGGAGCACUCUGAGUACACAUCAUGCGAGAGGGUACGUUUAUUCCUUAACCCCCAGUUACAUCCCGUAAGCUAACGACAUUAGUCCCGGGUUCGAGUCCCGGCGAGACCC
Halenospora varia is the source of this 143-nucleotide non-coding RNA. The record is from the annotation of a GenBank genome assembly. Lineage: Eukaryota; Fungi; Ascomycota; Leotiomycetes; Helotiales; Solenopeziaceae.